GCAGAAACUCAGUUACAUCAGAUCACUGAGCCAGGCACUUGGCUUAAACAAGUGACCCUUCUACAGGGUCUUUCUUUGACCUCUUUGAUUUUGACUCGUUUGAGUCUCAGGGACCAUGGCUCUGAAGUACACUCCAAACAUUGGGAAUUCUCCUGCUUAUAAUAAUCAUAAUAAACUCCCAGGUGUACUGUAUUCUCUCAAAGGCUUUAAAUGCAUGUUUGCAGCUGCUAAAUACCAAGUAAAUUUCAGAAAAGAAACAAAGAGGAUAACCAACUUAAAUGAGUGUCACAGAGAUUAAACAACAACAACAAAAAGUCAUGGCCCAGGAAAUACCACCCGAAGGAUCAAAGUUUACAAAGCCUGCAAGAACUACAGAGUGGCAUCUGUAGUGAGAGUGGUGCUAAUGCUUAAAAUUUUGAUCAUAUCUCUCAGUUAAGCUAAGAUCCUGAUCUGGAAUUAUAGAGUUGUUAAAGAUAAAACAGCAUGAGUUCCCCUUGUGGCUCAGCAGUAACAAACCCAGCUAGUAUCCAUGAGUAUGUGGGUUCAAUCCCUGGCCCCUCUCAGUGGGUUAAGGAUCCGGCAUUGUCAUGAGCUGUGGUGUAGGUCACAGGCAUGGCCUGGAUCUGGCAUUGCUGAGGCUGUGGCACAGGCUGGCAGCUGCAGCUUGCAGCAGCUCAAAUUUUACCCCUAGCCCGGGAAUUUCCAUAUGCCGCAGGCGCAACCCUUAAAAAAAAAAGAAAGAAAAGAAACAAAGGGCCCCAAAUGGAAGUGACUUGUGUUAGGCUCAUGACAGCAGACCAAGCCUUAAUAUCUAACUACUUUCCCAGAAAUGUGACCUUUAACUAGCCACCCUGGAAUUUCCUUUCUGGUCAGCUCUAAGAAAUAUGCUAAUAGGCCCCUUCCAUUUCCAUUCCCUAAAACAGUGCAUUCUUUGCUAAUAAUUUAGUUUUCCUUUUUGCUCCCUCUCUCUCUUUACAAACGUUUCCUUUUCUGCAGCUCAGUGGAGCCCCUUUCUAUUGCUAGAUUGGAUGCUUUCUGAUUCAUGAAUCAUUUAAUAGAACCCAGAAGAUCUUCACAUUUACUCAGCUGAAUUUUUGUUUUUUAACGCCCAUUGGCUUUCAAAGCUAGGUGAUUUGGGGACACAUCCAUUAGGUGGCAGCUGUAAAAGUUGGGGUGCUAGAGUGUGUGGAAAAGGUCCUUCUAGGGUGGUGCUGGUGGCCCUUAUAUUAUUGGAGCGAGCCAGAGGGAGAAGGUGAAGUGCCCACCAGCUCUUUCCAGCUGGAUCCAGGUAUCCCAGCCCGCACCUAGAUGCAUGCUAUUCAGAGGACAGAUCCUCCGUCAGUGGCCUGUAAAGUAUGCAGUCAAACCUCUUCCAGAGAAAGACUAGGAGAUGGGUAUUUUCGCCUGUACCCUCCGCAUUGAGUUCUGGGGCAUAGACACAAGAGCGCUAUCUUUGUUUGCUAGGGUCCUUUCAGGUCAUGAAUGUGAGCCCCAUUGGUUUUCAGCUGGGUUAUUUGGGGACCAUCCCACAGGUGGCAGGCUUAAAAGUUCAGGCACUAGAUGUAUGGUUUGCUCCUUAUGAAGAAGCUGGGAGUGCAGGUUUCCCUCCUGACUGUACAGUGCUAUGCUGGGAGUAAGUUUUAUGGUGAGAGUGUGCCUACCUUUUUUAAAUGUGGGUGUUUUUUCUAUAACCCAGUGUGUUUAGAUCACUCUGCUGUUUCUGGAUGUCUCUGAGAGAACUGCUUCAUGUGUAGCUAUAUAUUUGGUCCUGCUGUGGGAGGAAGGAAAUUCAGGAGUCUCCUUCCUGUAUUGCCAUCUUGGUUCGGAAUUCCCAAAUGUUUCUCAGGAAAUGUAAAUUCUCCAGUAUUUCUAUCCUCCUCCCAAAUUUUAAGAACAUUAGUAUGCUUUCACACUCCUAGUCUAUUUUUGGUUAGAAUUUUAUAAUUUGUUUUAAUGUAAAAAAAAAAAAAAAGUUCAAGUAGUUAGCAUUUUUAUGGUCAUUAUUUAAAUUUUAUCAGUAUCUGUGUCACCAUAUUAUCCUGUUCCUUCUCUUGGUGAAAUUUAUCUUUUUAAGAGUUCUUGAAGUGAGGGUUUGUGGGUUUAAUUUUCACAUGCCUAAAAAUGUCUUCAUUUUCACUCCCUCCAUAAUGGUAAUUUAACUGGGUAUGAAAUUCCAGGCUGAGAAUUAAUUUCCCUCAGCACUCCAACAAUAUUACUUUAUUUUCUACCCACAUUCAUUCUUUCUUUUCUGAAAUCUACCAUUUAUCCAACUGCUGUGUCUUUGAAGGCAAGCUUUCUUUUCCCACUAAUAGUUUUUAAUAUUAUAUUCUUGACAUUUUUUUUCAUUUUCACUAUUUUGUCUAGAAAUUGACAUAUUUUUAUUAAUUCUGUUUGAUAUUCAGUGUGUUUUAUGAUCUGAAAAUUUGUACUUUCCUUCUUCAGAUGUUCUCCAUCAUUCACAUGUAAGGUUGCUGUGAGCUACUUUUAGGUAUUUCCUUUUGUUUUUAUUUUCCCUUUACCUGACAAUAACCUCUCCAGGUCUAAUAGUUUUAUGGUAGGUUCCAUCUAGUAUACCAAGUGCCCAGUCUUAAACAAGAUCUUAUAAUGGUAAAUCAGGAUUCCCAUCCAAAAGUGAAUUGUGGAGAUCUCUAGGAAGUUUAUUUCCAUCACUAGACUAUAUUAGAAAGCAUGUUGUUAAAGAAGGCUGCUAAGUCAUGAAAUAAAAACAGCAUAACACAUACAUGGCAUAAUGAAAAGUGAUUUCCUCACCUUCAAAAGCAUCCCCAGUUUUCAUGUUACUCUACAAGGUUCAGAUAUACAUAGAUUAUAAAUGCACAUGUAUCUCCAGUGUUUUAUUUUAAUGUAUAAUAAAAUAUUAUGUUUUAAGUUAAACAUAUUAGACUGGAAAACAUCAGUUAACAUUCCAGGAAUAAAGAAGCAGCAAGAGCCUGUCAGCUUUCACUUCAGUAAGAGCAGAGUUGUUGCCCACAUCAGAUGAAUGUAUUGUCUACAAGAGUUGGCAAUAUAGCCAAUAUUAACAAAAGCAUCAAGUUCAGGACAUCAUUGGUCUGAACCUGUCAUUGCUUGUGACAAAAAGUUCAUAUUCAAAAAUUAUUUUAAUAUGUAAAAUAGAGAUUGACAUCGCUAAUAUAUUUAUGCUGUUGUCAUCUGGAUCAACUGGACAUUAUUAGAAAAUUUUGAAUAAUACUAUUUUUAUAUUUACUUCUUCCCCAUAAGCUAGUGAUUUGUUCAUAUUAAUGUAAUGAUAAAAAAGAACAUGUUUUAAUCUACUCACUAUCGCCUGCUUUUUCUUUAUUUCUUAAAUGUAAAUCAGUCUUGCUAAAAGCAUUUUUAAUUACCCAAGUGUAUCUGACACUUCUUGAGUGCCACUAAAAAUCUUUUCAGCUUCAACCCUCAUUCCAGCCACUGCUGCAACCACCUGGUUUUUUCAUCCCUGGGGAACUCCCCCCUCUCCCCCCGACCCACUCCCAAGCUUACUGUACCCUACCCCUUGCUUCAUCUUAUCACAAUCCAGAAGCAGGGGAUUUAACAUCACAUGGGCCAUCCUUGACCAGUGGAGAGAGAAGUUAAUAGAUAGAGGUUUCUCCUUUCUCCUUGGAUGGUUUUUAGACAUAAUUUCUCCCACAGGAUUAAGCAACCAGUCACGAGUAACAGUGGCCAUUGUAUUAGCUUCAUUGUAUUGGCUUGCUUUCUCUCUUCAUUCCCUUUCUCUCUCACUUCUGCUCCUAGGAUCACGUGUUUUACUCAGGCUCUGUUUUCAGGGAAAUUUCUGCUAAAAUAAAGAUGCUUUUUAAGAACCUAACCAUUGAGGAGUUCCCAUCAUGGCUCAGUGGUUAACAAAUCCGACUAGGAACCAUGAGGUUGCGGGUUCGAUCCCUGGCCUUGCUCAGUGAGUUAAGGAUCCAGUGUUGCUGUGAGCUGUGGUGUAGGUUGCAGACACGGCUCGGAUCCUGCGUUGCUAUGGCUCUGGUGUAGGCUGGUGGCUACAGCUCCAAUUAGACCCCUAGCCUGCGAACCUCCAUAUGCCGUGGGUGUGGCCCUAGAAAUGGCAAAAAAAAAAAAAAAAAAAAAAAAA
This 4096-nucleotide long non-coding RNA is filed under the name Sus scrofa (pig). RNAcentral describes it as "lncRNA (ENSSSCG00035009628.1)". Lineage: Eukaryota; Metazoa; Chordata; Mammalia; Artiodactyla; Suidae. The record is from RNAcentral.